GAUCUCAGCUCAAGCAAGACUACCCGCUGAAUUUAAGCAUAUUAAUAAGCGGAGGAAAAGAAAAUAACAAUGAUUCCCUC
Molecule: ribosomal RNA, 80 nt
Filed under: Creolimax fragrantissima
Lineage: Eukaryota; Ichthyosporea; Ichthyophonida
Description: partial 28S ribosomal RNA
Rfam family: Eukaryotic large subunit ribosomal RNA
Source: RNAcentral